CGUGGUUCAGACCUGGGACGUGAACCCGGGUCUCCUGAUCCUGCAGGCAGUGUUUCUGUUUGUGCUGUAAAUUUCCCACGGCCCUUGUCUGUCACCGCCUGUGCAAGCCCCAGGGCUCUGUGUGUAAACCUCAGAGACUGUAAAUGAGGGAGAGGCGUGGGGUAGGAGCGAGCCCCCAAAGGGCAGGCCAGCUCCCACCUGCCGGGCCCCGGUUAGGAACCUCGCACGCCUUUUUGUUCCGGGAGUAUUUGCUGAGUGCAUAGCAACGUGCCGGGGGAACAGGACAAAACGAGACUCGGGUCCUGAUCUUAGCGUGUAUUCCAGAGGGGGGAGGGUGAGGAAGCAAACAAGCGAACACGGAGAUGUGUGCUUAUCUCCUUCUGUUCUUCCGCCUGCACUCACAGUUGCCCCCCGGGCCGUGGUCCUGUGCUCCCGCCAUCUCUGGAACCUCCGUUUGGCCACCACAUGCUUCUAGGCCACAUCCUUCGUGUCCUAGCUCCCAAAUGGCAUUCGUUCUGAACCUGCUGUGUGUUUUUUUUAAUGUUUAUUUAUUUAUUUUGAGAGUGAGAGAGAGCGAGCGAGCGGGAGGGCCAGAGGGAGAAUCCCAAGCACUGUCAGCACAGAGCCUGAUGCGGGGCUCCAACUCACGAACCGUGGCAUCGUGACCCGAGGCGAAGUCAGGAGUGAGGCACCGAACCAGAUGAAGAGACUGGUAUUUCAUUCACAUCAAGAUGUAACAGCUUUGAGAUAACAGCUUCUCGUCUGACUCUGACCGGGGUGUUUUUUUGGAGCCACAGUCAAAGCUCUGAUGGAGAGACUUCCAGCAUGAGCCUGCAGGGGAGGUGGAAUUUGAGGCAAAAUAGGAUUAUUU
This is a long non-coding RNA of Felis catus (domestic cat), 871 nucleotides long. RefSeq lists it as uncharacterized. Lineage: Eukaryota; Metazoa; Chordata; Mammalia; Carnivora; Felidae. The record is from RefSeq and is a predicted model, not a curated record. The transcript is spliced from 2 exons.